This 15629-nucleotide long non-coding RNA is filed under the name Sorghum bicolor (sorghum). Its description in RNAcentral is "long non-coding RNA (SBIC_LNC017343)". The record is from RNAcentral. Lineage: Eukaryota; Viridiplantae; Streptophyta; Magnoliopsida; Poales; Poaceae.
CAAGGCCCAACAAAACUUUUUUUCAUCACUUCUUCUUUAGGCCUCCACGACAUCCGUUUGUUUCUUAGGCCCACCUACCUAUUAUACCCAUGAUGACUCGACAUAUAUACCAAUUUUGUAGCCGUUGGAUCCAAAGAUAGAUGAUUCAGAUCUUCUGUCCAAAUAAAACCCUAGCCAUAGUAAUCCUACCUUAUCUUUCUCCAACCCGUCUAGACUCCUUUUGGCGGCGCCGUCUUAUCUACCUAAAUAAAACCCUAGGCGUCGACGCAUCUACCUCGCAUCCUCGCCUUGGCUCAUUUUGCCUCUAGAUUCCACAAACCGCCAUGAUAAUUCAUUUUUGAGGAUUAAGAUUGCAUCUCUUGCUGAAGUCACCCACCUUUUUUCAUCUACAGAAGGUAAUACGCGAUGGGUCAUGUGCGGCCCGUCUUCCUUCUCGCGCUCGCCUCCUCCUCGACCAUCUUCUCCUUCUUUCCCAACUCUAGCACCCGAGACUGAGACCACGCCCAUCUUCUUGUUCCCCAACUCCGGCGGGCUUAGCAGAGAAAGGGUUCAAGGGAGGCAGGGGGCGGCUAGGUGGUGGGGACGGCGAGAGGGUGCGUUUGGGGUCUAGCGGUGGUGGAGGCGAUCGGGCUAGGUGUGGGUGAGGGGAGGAUGACCAUGGCAACAGUAGGAGGGGGAGAGGGGAGAAGGAGGCUGCCUUGGGUGUGCUAGGGUUUUGUCUGAGCUCCACGGUCGCGGAGCUUCGGCGAAACCCUAGUAUGCUACGACAGGGCGGUGUGCGGUGAGCCGAUGCGCGAGAAAGGGGCGUCACCACGAGGACGAGGAGGGAAGGGCGGGGGCUAGAGACGGGUGACACAAGCCUGGUGGUGCUGGCAAGGGUGGGUCAAGGCAAGGACGAGCGUGGGGAGAGGCCACUGCGAGGAAGACAACGGAUCGCGUGUUUCCCAAAUAUGUGACCUGUCUUCUGUUAAUGUCCUCCUUCAUUCCAAAGUGUUAUCGCUCAUGCCUCUAGCCUUGUCGGACUACUACCACAUCACUAAGUAGCCAGUCAUGGCUAUUUCUCUGGCCCUGCUGAUGAAGUUUUGUGUUACUAGAGAAGGAGGCUUAGCUGAUCUAAACAUGGAUCCGCAAGGUAGAGGAAGCCUAGCCGAUCUAAGCAUGGAUCUACAAGGCGACAGCAAGGUAUGAAAUUCGAGUUUUAAUUUUCUGCCUGUUCUCACACCUUUUAUGCAUUGCUUACUAAUUGUUAUAUAUUACCUAGCUUUUUUGUGGGAUAAAGUAAGGGUUAGGCUAGCCAUACCAAAUUUGUAGAAUGUGAUAAUUGGAUUCUUUUUUGCGAUUACAUGAUCAUUGGAUUGCAAUAGAUACAAUUAUAUUAUUUUCCUCAUACUACCAGGGUACACAUUAUUCCUCUUGUUACCUCAGCACACAUCAUGCCUCCUUGUAUCUAUUCCAGGUAGUGCUUCUGCCAUGCCUCCUUGUAUCUAUUCCAGGUAGUGCUUCUGCCACCUAGCCCGCUCAAGCAACGCCACUACUGUUAGACUAUCUCCAACAGCUCACCCAAAACAUGACCCAAACGCAAAAUGCGUCGUCCACAGUGGUUUGCCUAUCCAAAUCCAGGCUUCAACGGAAGAUGCAUAUGACUCACCCAUUUUGCAUACGAGCCGCAGCGGAACGCAAAAAUGCAUCUCCUCUCUCCUCGACGCAUUCUCUAGCGCAGCGGGGCUUGGCCGGCUCGCAAGGCGAGCUCGUCGUGGGAGGAAGGCGAGCUCGUCGGGCGCAGGAGAGGGAACUCGCCGGUCGCACAGGGACAACGAGCCACCAUGGCUUGGAGAUGUGCGAAGCCCGCGCCCUUUGGCGGGGCAGGGAGGCGCUCGCGCCCUCGCUAGAGCCAUCGCUGGAGCCUAUGCACGCCGGAGAGAGCACGCGCGGCACCAUGAAGGGGAGCUCCGGCCCACCGCCGGCCAUGGAGAUGCGUUGCUGUUUCUCUAGCGGCCGCCGUGGAGGGAUGAGGACUGGAGAAGAGGCGCACGGGACCUCCGCGGUGUCCUCGGCCGCGCGGUCGUCCUUCGCGUCGGGAUGCGGAUCGCCACGGCGGGCAAGGUAGGCAGCUUGGAGUCGGAGGCAUCCUCCGCCGAGCAGGAUGGGGCUCUGCUUUUGCGUGCCUCCGCCGCACAGGAUGGGGCUUUGCUUUUGCGUCGCUGUUGGAGAGGCCUGAGUUAUGUGUGCGUGAUCUUUUCCUGUGCGUAACCCAAAAGCUCAAAUGCCUGUUGUGUUUAGGUCUCCCUUGUUGGAGACAGUCUUAGUAACGUCCCCACUCUUAGAUUAGCUCAACCGUCAUCCCUAACUAUACUAUGGCUUAUCUCGCCUGACUUCACUACCAUGACAGUGACCUUUCUCAACACGCUUUAUAGAUGGGAAGGUAAAAAGUCUUGAACCUCCCAAUUCCUAAGCCAAACUCGUUCGUCUAGAUCUAGCAUAGUCGGAGACGAAGAGCUAUAUAUAUAAAUAUAAAUCUCUAACCUGCAAGCUGGGCAGACAAUCACCCAUGGACUUGCCACUAAAUGGCCUCAUAGAUGCACGUCCCAUGCCUUAUAUUAUAAUUUUGUAAGUGAGAUUUGAGAAAAUAUCUCUAGAGAUAGAAAUGCACCUUCGAUCUUCUAUUAUGCCCUCACUUAUCAAAUCAUAUAAGUACUUGUCAAAUAUCAGACAGUCACUAAUCGCCAUGACACACAUCUAGAUGAUCGUAUUACACACUCAUCGUGUUUAGGACACAUCUAGCACCCACUUCUAGGCAGUCAUUGACCAUGAUAAACCUUCUAGCUAGGCAAGGCUACGUUCACUUGAGCAGUUGAGCUACUUUGCAGUAGCAACUGUUGUGUAUAGCAAUAACACAGUAACUUGUGAAGUGUAUAGUAAUAGCACAUAACCUGUGAUAUGUACAUUAUUAGCGCAGUAACCUGGGAGGGUGAGCUGCAACCGCCACAGUUGCUGAGGCCCUUAGUCGUCUCGCCUUGUGUCUAGCCCCUAAACUCACACUGUCAUGACAACUGCGUUCAAACCUGGGAAGUACAUUGUUCCAUGAAAACAUGCUUAGAUUAAAACCUUGUUUGGAUGUUGUCAGAUUCACUAUAACACAGUAACUUGAACUAAAUUACACCUCAAUCCACUCCAACGCAUAUGAAUUCACAAAAAAUCUGACUACAUCCAAACAAGACCUAAUGGAAUAAUGAGGUGCAACAGAACAUAACAAUGCAGCCCAAAGACCUGAAAACGCUACUUCUACCAACACACCGCACAGCACUAAUAACCGAAAUAAGCGCAGGAGAAUGACAAAAGGCAUUUGAUAGGAAAAAAAUCAUCUAAUUUACUGUAUGCUACCCCCAUUUUGGAGUGCCUCAAUGAUGCAACAUAUCAAGACAGGCAGCAAACCAGAACUUCACUGUAACCAGUUAGAAGUACCUAAAUAAGAUCGACUCUCAUAACGAUCUGGUGAAACUAAAUUGACGCUCGAGGAUCAUCAGUUCCUUCAGCAGGAGUACCUAAUGAAGUCUAAUCCCCAUCCCUCCCUCCUCAACCCCACGGCUACGCCCUACUCCACCAUAGCUGGUAAGCUCAUUUCCACGGGGGGAAGCUUGGGAAGCCUGGUGGCUGUGUGCUGGUGCUGAAGGAGCCUGUGGUGUUUGGUGGGCUUGCAUGCCCACCCAAGGAUUCAGUACCCCUAGAUGGACUGCUGGCAGUUGGAAAUCUUCCAAAAGCAUGUUUUUCGGGUGCUGAUCCAGGGUCAAGCUCCAUUUUUGUAUCAGCCAGAAAGCUCCCAAUGACCACCUGAACAGCAGAAUAACAAAAACACAAUCCAUUGAGAGAUUUGUCAAUCCUCCAGGAGUAAGUGCAAAAACACUAAAAGCCGAUUGCCCAAAAAAAUAUAACUGAUCAUCUUAUCAUGUUCUGUGUUACAGAUGACAGUAUGUAUAUAUAUACAUCACUUGGAAAAUCACUUGCAAUGACAGUAUUGCACAGUAGGAAGUAAGAACAUGAUUCGUGAAACAAAGAGACCAUCAGAACUGCUAUGUAAUAAGUACCCAGUAGAACAAACAAAGUCUAAAUGAUGUAAUUUGCAAAACUUUUAGCCUUACGGCUCUGAGAAAUUUUAUAUUCAGGUGGGGAUCCUCUCCCCCCUGGUGACCUUCAAAAUAAAACACAAAGAGACCAAGGUAUCUGAUGUAAAGAUCUUAAUUAAGAUAGUGAAUUCAGAAUAAAAGGGGAACCUGAACUGGCGAAGCUGCAGUUAGAGGUCCUGCUACAGCACCACCUAAAACACGCCCAUCAGGACCAGCAAGAGAAACACUAAGUCCACCUGUUCGACUGCUCAUGCCAGCACUUUCUGACAGAAGAUAUGACCCAGCCAAAGAGAGAAUCUCAAAACGGCCCUGCAUAUUGGAUGCAAGAAACUAUGUCAUUCAAAUUUAGUGCAAGCACAUAGGUUAAUUAUUUCCAGAACCGCGAAACAGAUGUAUUGCCAGAAAAAAAAGGUCCUUCCUUCUCUUAUGUUUUAUGCAUUGUAUUUUCCAUUCUAUUUCACCGGGAACAUGGAACGGUGCCAUGUUCCUUGUACUAGGAAUGUCGUUCCCAUCCCAGGAACAUGGGAACAUUCUCAUGUCCACCGUGUAAAAACCUGUCAAGUACCAUACUGUGUUCCUUAACUGCAUUGACCUAGGAACUUGAUGACUCCAGGUUUAGCUGGGAUAUAGUUCUAUACUUCUAUAGAUAUUGUCAGUUAAGCCAAGUGCUAUGUAUCUUAUUUACUGCAGUUACUAUUCACUGUCCAGUAAUUAUCGGGUUCCUUGGCAACCAAGUUGAUCGUGGUGCCUUUGAAACCAAGUAGGCUAAGCACUUUUUGCUAGGGAAUAUGCUAUAGUAGGUGGCUGUCCACUUAGGCUAUAUAAGCAGUGGCAGCACCCCUGUGUAACCAUGCCCUGUAAUUCUACUUUCCAAUCCAAGCGGCUAUAUGCCAAGCUGCCCUCUGGGCUUUUACCCUGAUCUGAGCCAUGUGUGGCCAACAGAUAUACCAGGGAAAAAAAGGAUAUUUAAACUGAGCAAGAUAAGUCAAAGUUGGAAGAAUCUACAAACCUCAUAAGUUACUGUUCCACCAGAAGACUCUCCUUGACGCAGGGUCACAUUAGAUACAGCGCCAUUGGCUGUGAGGAUACAAACUGCCCAUCCAUUCCCAGAAAAUGACAUGACUCUUGAUGCUACAUCCUGAAAUCAUGGAUCCUUCUUUAGCAGGUUACCAGGAAAGCACAAGUUCACAAAGAAAAUGAAUUUGGAAUGGAAAGCUGAGGAACAUGAGACAACCAGCCAAGGACCAAGGUCCAUAGUGGUGUCUCACUCUAGUAAGGGUGGUGCAGUGGGGCAGUGGUGUGGCAAGGUUGCCUCAUAAUCCUUGCCUACCCUAUAUUAACUCCUCAACAAUAGAGAGUAAAUUCAUAACAAUGGCAGAUAAUAAAAGAAAAUAAAUAUUUAAAAGGAAUCCAGGCCCUAACAUAUAGGGAGUGUGCUGUCCAAUUCCAUAACAAGGCGAUCCAGUCAAGCCACCUAAUGCUCACCCGACAUAAUAGCAGUCAGCAGGAAAAAUACACAAGGCAGCACAGAGUAAUCAUGAAACAAGUUUGUAAAAUGAAGAUAUAAUACAAGGAAAAGGCGCCUCAAGCUAAGGGGACAAAACGAAAUAAGAGGUUUGCAGUGACAGGGAAAAAAAAUAUAGUAACAUGAUUGCAAAGUAAGUAUUCACCCUUCCAUUCUAACGAGCAUACUUAGCAGACUAUCACAGAAUAACACAAACUUUAAGAAAAAAAAUUUACCAGCAAUAAAGCUUGCAGUAGACCAGGCUAAGACCACUAACUCUAUUGUGGUUUGACUAAGCUCAAACCAUUUAACGAUAGGCCAGCAUGAAAGGUAUACUAAAGAUAUAGAUUAUGCAAGUAUAUAUAUGGUUUGCUGAAGUCCAGGCUAAGGAGCAUGACAUAAAGUUUACAAGAUAGCAGAGCAGGAUGUAUUUAUUUAAAAAAAAGUGAGAGCAGGAUGUCAGGCGUAAUAAACAUUUCCUGAGGCAGAACAAAUCUUAUAUCCAACGAGCAGAACAAUCAUAUAAUUGCAUUAGGUAAUACAAAUAGAAAAAAGAAAGUUAUGGCACCAUAAUAAAAAGCGUGGAAUACAAAAGGACAACGUCAUAAAGCAAAAAAUAGAUAUUAAUCAGUAUAUGACUUCACAUAGCCAUGGAAUAGACAAUAUAGCUUAAGAAAAUGAUGCUACUAGUAUAGCUUGAAAAAUUGAUGCAAGUAAACAUAACCCAUACAGAUUUUGAUAUAAGAGAUGACAAAAAUCCUAAGACUGCAUAAGUACAUCUGUAGGAGCAUCAUAAGCAUUGGACAGUGUACCUCUCCAGCUUGGACUGUGAAAAUAUGAGGCUUCCAUCCAGCCCAGCCUGGUCCUGCUAAAACAAAAUUUCAGAAACAUUAUAUAUAAUCUCAUAAUCAUAGUGCCAUCACAUUGAAUUAAUAUGUAUAAACCUCAAGAUAGUCCCACGAUAUCUAGUAUGCCAAGCAAAAUAUCCAUAGCCAUAGGUAUACUUUUGGAGGGAUCUGAACACAUGGUAUUAACGGCAUGUUUAUAAUAACUAUAACUAUUAAAUGCAUAGGAACUCAAAGUUUUAUUGGGGGGAUUAGGAGCUCAAAGUUGAAGGUGCAAUGAUCCAAUAACAAAAGUCAAACACCGCUUAAGUUAGUAAACAAAAGAUAACCAUGGAUAAAUAGUUCAAUACAUUCCAACUGAGUAAACUAAACACAAACAGUGCGCUAAUACAGUAAAAAUAUUUCAAAUCUAGAACUGAAACAACAUAAUAUUACAUGCCAAUGCAAGCCAACAGCAGAUAUUAAUCACAAUUAAGAGUAAAAAAGGCCAGAUCCCCACAGGAACCACAAUAAGCUAAUAAAUCACAUCUACCACGAACUAGUAACGGAAAGAAGUAUUCUCGAGUUGCCAGCAGCACAACCUUUCCCUACUCAGUUCUACUUAGAGCAACAAGAAUCCUGAAGAAACCUCUCUGUAUUUUUCUCAAGAAACCUCGCUUGCCAAAUAGUUUUUUUGAAUGAAAACUCUAGCAUGGAGAAGGCCAAGGGCAUAAAGGUCAUUAUCACCAAGUAUUCCAUUCCCCGCCCACAACUCCACCCCUGAUUGCUGCCGGCAUGACAGCAAACCAAAAGUAAAGAAGAAUGAAUGAAAUGAUAAAUAAAUGAAUGCUAAUCCCUGGGGUCGUUUUGCCCAUUCCCAAGUACCACAAGUAUAUAUACGUGUAUCUGAAGCUCUGAACAGAAAUACGAUCAAAGCCAUCAAUGCCGCCUUGCACAUUUCACUACUUCUACGCUCCAGUUGAAAAGGGGACGGCAGAACAUUACCAGGCGCUGCCGCCUGCGGCUGUUGCUUCUUGCUGGAGGGGCCCGGCGGCCGGCCCCGCUUCUUGACAGCGGGAGCACCUGACGCCGCCGGCGGCUGCGGCGCCGGUGAGGCCUGGGGACUCACCACGCCACCACCCUGCGGGCUUGGAGCGAAGCCAGGAGGAAUCGUGGGUGACGCCUCAGAGGCAGCUGGGGCAGCAGCAGUGGGUGGCUGCGACGGGGGCACGAUAGCCAGGGGCACGGCGCCGUCCGCGGGGCCGUACUUGCGCGGGCGCCCGCGCUUGCGCUUGAAGGGCUCAGAAGUGGCGGAGGAAUGAGCUAGCCCCGGAGCCGCCGGCACGAUGGCAUUGCUGCCCGCGGACUGUUGGUAGAACGGCGGGAUGGCCGGUUUCGCGUAGACGGCGAUGCCGUCAGGGGUGUAGAAGACCGAGCCGGGGCUAGGCUGCGGCGCCUGGUGCUGCUGCAGGGACCCCUUCUGCACGCCUCCGCCAUACGCCGCUUCACUCGCCGCCGCCAUCGCUGAUGACAUGGUUCACCCCGCAAGCACAGCUCGAGCAGAGGAACCAAGGAAAGGUCCCUCCUUUCGAUCGAUCUCGCUGGAGCCAGGCACUCCCAAGAUUAACCGACCUAGAGAGCAAACACGACGGCCAUCAGCUCAAAAAUUCCAAGUCCCGGCGACGAAUUCUGCGAGAUCAAGAAGCGUACUAGACAGGAGAGUGUACUUACUCAAGUGAACAGAAAACACCCAGGUACAAAAAAAUCCCCCUUACUAUUUUGCUCUUUUUUUCCUUUUUCCUUCUCUUUUCUCUGACAAGAUUCCGAAUUUCACAGUAGCACGGAAGAAACCAAAAAACGAAUUUUUCACAGUGACAAAUUUCUCUACGAAAUACGGCGGAGAAACCAAAAAAAAAACUCUGAGAUAAACCCUAAAAAUCACGCAAAUAAAACAGAGAAAUUAGCGACGGGCACAGGAAGCCGCAUCAAGUUCCCAUGAUUUUUGCAAAUCCUUGCCUCGAAUUCCCCAAACCCCUUCGCGAAUUUCUCGACCGAAAUACUGAGAAGAGAAAAAAAAAAGCUUCUGUAAUCGACGGAGGAGAAAAUGUGUAAAGCCCAGCAGGGAUUAAUAGAGAGGAGGGGAGCGUAUGCCUUUUCGCGAGGACCCCGGAUAUACGCAGAAUUUGCUGCGGUUACUGUCUUUUGCCAAUUUUUCUGGCCGUCUAUUUCCGCUACUGCGAAUUUUGCGGUAACCGAGGGGGUUACUGAAAAGCUGGUGGGAGAGAUAUUUACCUUUUCGUCAGCCUUCACAUGAAUUGUGAAAUUGGUUUUCUUUUUUCUAGAGGAAAAACCGCUUUUUCCGCGUUGUGUUCACAUGAUGCUGUCAUGUCAUUUUUCGGAAGCUAUUUAUUGCCCGCCUAGCUGUUGGGAUUCUCACGUGUCCUACUGUAGUCCGCGGCACCAACUAUACGCCUUUCACUUAAAAAAAAAACUAUAUGCCUUUGGUGGGUCAGCCUCGUCAGUGUCUCGCAGAAUUCGUAUUAGGCCUGGGUCAGCCUUGUCUACACAGAGGCGUCAGCAAAAGGGGACACCUGGACGUAUUAGGCCUUGUUUAUUUCCACUCAAAAAUUCAAAUUUUUUUAAAAUUUCUCAUCCCAUCAAAUCUUUAGACACAUGCAUGAAGUAUUAAAUAUAGACAAAAGUAAAAACUAAUUGUACAGUGUGGGGGUAUAAACCCCUAUACCCUUACGGCUAGACUUUGGCCAGGAAGCUUGGCCCAUUACGAGACGAGUUCAAGGCUUGAUCCGACAACCUGGAGUUUCGCGCAAGGAAACAAGAUGGGGAGAUCAAGCAGGAUUCUAGUCGGUUAGAAUAGGAAUUGAUAUCGAAUUAUCCAUGGCAAUUGUAACCGACUAGGAUUAGUUUCCAGAUCUGUAACCCUGCCCUCCAGACUAUAUAAGGAGAGGCAAGGGACCCCUAGGACAUCAUAUUCUCUUAACACAAACCAAUACAACCAGACGCAGGACGUAGGUAUUACGCCAACUCGGCGGCCGAACCUGGAUAAAAAGCUUGUCCGUGUCUUGCGUCACCAUCGAGUUCGUAGUUUGCGCACCGUCUACCGAUAAACUACUACCGUGGGUAUACCCCAAGGUAGACUGCCGACCAGCUUUCGUCGACAGUGGCGCGCCAGGUAGGGGGUGUGCGUACAGCUCUCCCGACGAACAAGAUGGCCAUCAUCCCCGACUUCGCGGCCAUGGCGGGCGACUUCACGUUCACCGUCAGCUUCAACAACUUCACCGCCAUGACCACGGAGGAGGUGUAGAUCCGAUCUGCGCCAACCACUUCUUCAUCGACGUCGGCGGCGGCUUCAACCACGCUGGCUACGACUCCGACUACUCCAGCAACGUCUCCGACCACGCCGACAACGCGUCACCCGCUUCUCUGCUACAAAGAGAGGCAGAUCGACAACACCGACCUGCUCGGGCCAUCGACCAAAUUGUUUAGCCUACUUGCUCUGACCACCAGUCGUAAUAAUAAUCGCCGCGAAGAACGACGCUACGACAACAGCGACCACCGUCAUGACAAGUCGAAAAGCUCGAGGGCCGGACAAUUUUGUCGUCACCGACUAGACUUUCAUCCAAAGAUAAGUACAUUUCUAAUAUCUUAUUUAUUUUUGGCAUAAUAUUUUUUAUUAUCAUUCAAAAAAACUUUUUGUUUAGCCACACUAGUUUUUUCUCCUACACGAGCUUUCCAGAGCCGGUACUGUCUCCGACUCCUCCCUACACGUGCACGAGAUCCGCCCUCUGCGUUCCGGGUGGUCGGCAGUAGCUCUCUGGCGAGGCUGGCAAUCCCACACGUGUCUAGGUUCCGCACCUCAUGCUGAUUGUUGGCUAGACCAGAGCUGGUACAAGCUCUAGGAUGAAUUAACUACUUGUGCUAAUUUUAUAACAAAAAAUCUAAAACUUAUCUCAGUACUGAUUUUUAUCUAAAGUUUAUUUAUACAUCAUGGGUAUACCCCAAGGUAGACUGCCGACCAGCUUUCGUCGACAUACAGUUUGGUUGAAAUUGAUGAGACGAAUCUUUUGAGCCUAGAUAGUCUAUAAUUAGACAAUAAUUAGCACAAAAACAAACGAAAGUGCUACAAUAUCACAAAUUUUUUUCCUUUGAAAACUAAACAAUGCCUUAGGCCUGGGUCAGUUCCUAAAAUUUUCCAAAAUUUUUCAAAAUUUUUCAUUACAUGCAUAAUUUACUUGUAAUUUACUGAUACAUGCAUAAAACAUUAAAUAUCGAUAAAAAUAAAUCUAAUUACAUAAUUUACUUGUAAUUUACGAGACAAAUUUUUAAAACCUAGUUAAUCUAUAAUUAGAUAAAAUUUAUCAAAUAUAAACAAAAAUACUGUAAUGAGAACCAAAAUUUUUGAUGAACUCAACAAGGCCUUAUUCCUGCUGGGGUGUGCUUAUGGUUUUCUUUUCUUUUCUGCAAGGAGCGUGGUCGUGAAUGAAUAUAAAAUCUUUUAUACACAUAUAUGGUAAUUGGAUUUAAUACGAGCACAUGGUUUACAGAUAACUACAUUAAAGCCAGUGGAAUAUGAAUGCCAACCCAUAUGUUGCUGGGAUUUUGCGUUUCCGUAAGCCAUUUGGUUGCAUAUGCCCAUCUAGAGCAACUCUAAGAGUCUCAUAGAGAUUUUAGUAAAAAAAAAUCUCCUUCAGCAGCUUUUUAACUAAAUUAAAUAUCCCUAUACUCUAUUUCUAGUUUCUCGCUCAUGCAAGUUAGAAAGUAAAAUUAAGCUUUUUAAAGUGUCGAACAAGAUAUAAAGAAGUUGUCGUAGCAUGUAAAGAUAUAUGAAGCUAUUUUUAUUAGAAUGGACCUGUAAAUGAGGAUUUAUCGAGUGGGUUCAAGAAAGACAAUUAGAUAUGCACUUUUUUUAGAGAAACAAGAGAGGUUGCCCCUGCUGGUCUUUUAUUAUUAAAAAAAUAUAAAAUCACAAAGAGCCAAGCUCUGGACUUAGGAUACAAAGAAGGACAUAAAAGAAAACCAUAAAAAUUAUACAAUACAAAGUUGUUUAGCCAUUGAUCACUGGUUGAUUUAUGUUGCAAAAAUCACUGCAGUAUGCAUAAACUUAAGUGAUUCAACACAUUUUAUGUAUUCUAAGAUGCCAAUAUACUCCUAAGGUAUAAUUUUACUAUAUUUGGGAUUUUUGACCAAAAGAGUUGCCAAUGAAUGCUAGGGAUAUUCCACAACAUUUAGAGAAAGAGUUCUCAGUGAAUGCUAGGGAUGAAAACCCAUCGGAUUCAAACGGAUAUGUAUAGAUAUAAAUAUGAGUACUUAUUUUUUCUUCGGUUUCGGAGUUGGAUGUAAUUGUGUUAGGAUCAAGUGAUAUGAACAUGGAUGAGUGACAAGAUACUAAACAUUAGUAAGUAUUACUCUCUUCAUACCUAUGAAGAAAAUCGUUCUGGACAAAGUCUUGGUCAAACAUUGAGAAUAUAAAUAUGAAUAACUUUAAAGUUGUUGAGUUUGAAAAUGUAAAAACCAUAUGAAUAGAUUUGUCUUGAAUACUUUUUAGAAAAAAUAUACAUAUACCACUUUUUGAUAAAUAUUUUUAUCAAACAAGGAGUCAAAGUUAGGCUUCAAAACGUCUUUCUUUAUAUAUAUGGAGAGAGUAUGUGGUUACUCUACACUUGUAUUGUCAUCAAAGUCACUUGGUUGUCAACAUAGACUAAUUUUAAAUAUCUACUAACAAAUAAGGACCAAAAGAAAUCCAUAAAAGAUUCAGUUAAUCCUAAUUUAGGCACCAUAAGAUACAAAAUAAAUUUAGGAAAAAAUAUGAAGCUAGUUUGAUUUUUUACCUAAAUUAUUUUUCUACUAUUUUUACAAUUAAACUAGAUUUUAGGAUCUUGAAAUGCCUACUUUUUCAAUAAAUAUUUGGAAAUUUUCUUUAAAAUUUUUAUAGUCCGAUCUACCUCUUAAACUAUCAAUUUAGUUCGAUUUACUCCCUCUUAGCUGAUAUAGCGCCUAUGCAACCCUUGAAAAUUGGAUUAAAUCCUAAAAAUAGGGGCAUCUAUGCACUAGUACAAAAAAGCUCUACAUUAGCGGUGGAAUUUCUUUUUUUACACGUGGUUUCAAUUAAAAAACGUCUGUGAAAAGAAAUCGGUGGGCCCGACCCAAGAACCGCCAGUGGAAACACAUUUUCACUAGCGGUUCUCUUAAGUGAACUGCUAGUGAAAAUUGAUUUUUUACAGGCGAUUUUCCUACCAAAACCACCACUAGAUAUUGUGUAUUUCUACAAGUAGUUUUCUUAAGAAACCGCCACUAGAAAUCUGAUUUUUAGUGGCGGUUUUAUUAAGAAAACUGUUUGUAAAAAUAAUUUGAAAUUAAUUUUAAGUUUUUCAAAUGACUUCAUAUAAAAAACUACCAAAAUAAAACUUGUAUAUCUCAAUAAGUUAUAAAACUUUGUAGUUAGUUGGUAAUUUUUUUAUUUGAAAUUAUUUUGUCAUCAAAAACUACGUUUGAAUUUGUCAAAUUUAAAAUUCAAAUUUUGUAAACGACCUUAGAUAGAGAAACUAUCAAUAUAAAAGUUGUAGAUCUUAAAAAGUUAUGAAACUUUGUAGUUGAUAACUUUUUUAUUUGAAUUCAUUUAGGGCCUAAAACAAUCAAUAUACACUCAGUUUAGGAUAAUAUGUAGGAAACCAAACUCUAAUGUAGUUAUGAGUGAGUGGUGGGUGAAGUGGUAGAGGAGGCUACGCGUGAAGGUGAGGUCUUGGAUUCGAAUCCUGCCAGAUGCAAAGCACAUGUUUUUACGCGGAAAAAAAUGCGGGACUUGCAACUUUGACGGAGGGCGACUAUUUUUAAAACCCAAUUUAUAUUUUCUACAUAAACAUUUCCACGUGCAAUUGUCUUGACUAAACUAGCGCUAGCGGUUCUGAGAAACAUCUCUAGAAAUAUGUUUACAACCGAUUUUGAAAAAAUAUCUAUAGAAAUAUGUUUACAACCGGUUUAAAAAACCGUCUAUAAAAAUAUGUUUGCAACCGUCACUACUAAAGUUCAGGGCAUUGGCGGACGCACGAGGGGGGCUGGGGUGGCUGCAGCCCCCCUCUUGGGCUGAAAUUUUUUUUGACAUGUUUUCUUUUUUAGCAAAAGACUCUAUAUAUUUGGUAUUUUUCUAUGCUUAUUUUAUAAAUCUUUGUCUUUAAAUACUUUGAAUCAAUAUUGAAUUAUCAAUCUUAGCUAUAACUAUUAGGCCUUGUUUAGUUCCCAAAAUAUUUUGUAAAAUUUCUUAGAUUUCCCAUCACAUAUAAUCUUGCGGCACAUACAUGAAUCACUAAAUAUAGAUAAAAGAAAUAACUAAUUACACAGUCUAUCUGUAAUUUGCGAGACAAAUCUUUUGAGCCUAGUUAGUCCAUGAUCGGACAAUAUUUGUCAAAUACAAACGAAAAUGCUACUAUUUCUAUUUUGCAAAAAAAUUUGGAACUAAACAAGGCCUUAGUGUACUGAAUUGAGCGAGAAAAAAAUAGCAUGUAUUAUUUAGCCCCCCUCUUGGUCCAUUUCUGGAUCCGCCACUGGUUCAGGGUACUAGUGAUGAUCGUAUCACAUAUCUCUUAAUCUGGCAUGAAGAUUCCUGAAAUUUCAAGGUUUAAUGUUUCUUAGAGAGAAUUAGUAAUUUAAAAUCCAAAAAAAAGUAGCAUGCUGCUUGCAUCAAAUAGGUGUGAACUAGUUUAUAUACCAGUUGAUUAGAUUUUUUGUGGUAGAACGUGUCCAUCAAGGCUUAAAAUCUCGAUUUGAUGUGGUGGCAUUUUUCUAGACUUUGUCCAGGAUUUAGUUGCGUUGUUUUUUUAGCAAUAGUUAUUCUGCUCGUUAACAAUGAAACAUGUAUGAUAACCUCGUUAAUAUAUAUACACCAUGGGUAAUCAAACGACUUUGUAAUGUUAACAAUUGACUUAGGUAACAGUAUGAUCUGGAUUUAUCAUGUUAAAUUUUGUACAUCCGAUUUGUUACGAAGUCGCACAAUAGGGACCGUGUCCAUAUUUAAAACAUUAUGCAUAUAUCUAUAUACCUAAUAAAGAGGCAAAAUUUCACAUUAUUUUUUCGUCCAUCUCUCCCUAACUACCCGAUAAUAGAGAGUUUCUUCCACCCAUACUUAUAUAUAUAUUCCAUGCUCAUACGAGUUAGAAUAACUUUUCUCUAAUAACGCGAUACGAAGUCUGAUUCCAAAACGUAUUGGGUCAUGUAGGUGAUCCAAACUCAUAAGCCCUUCCUAAGCCUGCCACACCCACAAAUUCCAUAGUCAAGAUUGAACUAUCAAAAUCAGAGUUUUUUUUUGGAAAACUUAAACUUUUACUACGCUAAUCAGAAUUUCAAAUUUAGCCCAUGUCAAUGCAAUAUCCCAUAAACUCUCGUGAAACAUUUUUUUUUUCAGCUUGCCAACAUAUAUACAUGAUCGUUUCUGAUCUACUCCCUCCGUCCCAAAUUAUAAGUCAUUCCAAAAAUCUUCGAGAGUCAAAGUUUUCAAGUUUAACCAAAUUUAUAUAGUAAAAUAAUAACAUUUUUGGUACCAAUCGUUGUUAGUUAUAUUUUCAUAGUGUACCUAUUUUAUAACAUAAAUCUUUAUAUUUCUCUCUAUAUUUUUGGUCAAACUUGAAAAUGCUUUGACUCUCCAAGAUUCUUGAAAUGACUUAUAAUUUGGUGGGAGUAUGUCUUUGCAACUGUUUUUUUAAGCAAUUUCCGAUUUAGAGGAAAUAAUAGUAUAGGUAAAAUAGAAAAAAGUACGGUCUCAAUGUGGGAGAACCCUACCUUCUCAAUUAUCACGUGUCCUCGCCUUGAUCACUAGGCUAUUGCCAAUGCAGUGCGUCUUUGAGUCAAGUCUGAUUCCACACCGAUCAUUUGAUUCUUUGUUUUGACUAGUGAAGGGCGCGCGCCAUCGCGCGCACAACUGAUAAUUGAAGAUUGAACAGAGCAGGUAAUAAGUAUGUUUUGUACAUGAAUGUUUUUCAGGUUCUAGGUUUGUGGUCAUUGGCAAGCAUAUUUUACAUGUGGGAUAUAUGGAAUCAGUUGUACUAUAUACAUUGACAUUUAGGUUAUAGCAACAACUUCGCUGGAGCAGUCCCUAAUGAUUUUGGCUGGUGGUCUAAUAAUUCCGCGAAUGAAUCCUCAGUUUCCCAGCUGGAGAUUCUUCUUAAUUGGUGA